This 368-nucleotide ribosomal RNA is filed under the name uncultured organism. RNAcentral describes it as "bacterial SSU rRNA". It matches the Rfam family "Bacterial small subunit ribosomal RNA", at positions 526 to 896 of the family's 1533-position model. The record is from RNAcentral.
CGGAGGGUGCAAGCGUUAUCCGGAUUCACUGGGUUUAAAGGGAGCGCAGGCGGAUUGGUAAGUCAGUGGUGAAAGGCUUAAGCUUAACUUGGGAAUUGCCAUUGAUACUACUGGUCUUGAAUGUUGUUGAGGUUUGCGGAAUGGGUCAUGUAGCGGUGAAAUGCAUAGAUAUGACCCGGAACACCUAUUGCGAAGGCAGCAGGCUAAACAAAUAUUGACGCUGAGGCUCGAAAGCGUGGGGAUCAAACAGGAUUAGAUACCCUGGUAGUCCACGCCCUAAACUAUGAUUACUCGACAUACGCGAUACACUGUGUGUGUCUGAGCGAAAGCAUUAAGUAAUCCACCUGGGAAGUACGACCGCAAGGUUG